CAUGGCUGUCGUCAGCUCGUGUCGUGAGAUGUUGGGUUAAGUCCCGUAACGAGCGCAACCCUUGUCCUUAGUUACCAGCACGUUAUGGUGGGCACUCUAAGGAGACUGCCGGUGACAAACCGGAGGAAGGUGGGGAUGACGUCAAGUCCUCAUGGCCCUUAUGGGUAGGGCUUCACACGUCAUACAAUGGUACAUACAGAGCGCCGCCAACCCGCGAGGGGGAGCUAAUCGCAGAAAGUGUAUCGUAGUCCGGAUUGUAGUCUGCAACUCGACUGCAUGAAGUUGGAAUCGCUAGUAAUCGCGGAUCAAGCAUGUCGCGGGUGAAUACGUUCCCGGGUCCUUGUACACAC
Molecule: ribosomal RNA, 350 nt
Filed under: uncultured bacterium
Lineage: Bacteria
Description: bacterial SSU rRNA
Rfam family: Bacterial small subunit ribosomal RNA
Source: RNAcentral